CCGUACACAAAAAUGCACAUAUUGUGAGCUUGAUGAGUAGGGCGGGACACGUGGUAUCCUGUCUGAAUAUGGGGGGACCAUCCUCCAAGGCUAAAUACUCCUGACUGACCGAUAGUGAACCAGUACCGUGAGGGAAAGGCGAAAAGAACCCCGGCGAGGGGAGUGAAAAAGAACCUGAAACCGUGUACGUACAAGCAGUGGGAGCACGCUUAGGCGUGUGACUGCGUACCUUUUGUAUAAUGGGUCAGCGACUUAUAUUCUGUAGCAAGGUUAACCGAAUAGGGGAGCCGAAGGGAAACCGAGUCUUAACUGGGCGUUAAGUUGCAGGGUAUAGACCCGAAACCCGGUGAUCUAGCCAUGGGCAGGUUGAAGGUUGGGUAACACUAACUGGAGGACCGAACCGACUAAUGUUGAAAAAUUAGCGGAUGACUUGUGGCUGGGGGUGAAAGGCCAAUCAAACCGGGAGAUAGCUGGUUCUCCCCGAAAGCUAUUUAGGUAGCGCCUCGUGAAUUCAUCUCCGGGGGUAGAGCACUGUUUCGGCAAGGGGGUCAUCCCGACUUACCAACCCGAUGCAAACUGCGAAUACCGGAGAAUGUUAUCACGGGAGACACACGGCGGGUGCUAACGUCCGUCGUGAAGAGGGAAACAACCCAGACCGCCAGCUAAGGUCCCAAAGUCAUGGUUAAGUGGGAAACGAUGUGGGAAGGCCCAGACAGCCAGGAUGUUGGCUUAGAAGCAGCCAUCAUUUAAAGAAAGCGUAAUAGCUCACUGGUCGAGUCGGCCUGCGCGGAAGAUGUAACGGGGCUAAACCAUGCACCGAAGCUGCGGCAGCGACGCUUAUGCGUUGUUGG
Molecule: ribosomal RNA, 851 nt
Filed under: Shigella sonnei
Lineage: Bacteria; Pseudomonadati; Pseudomonadota; Gammaproteobacteria; Enterobacterales; Enterobacteriaceae
Description: partial 23S ribosomal RNA
Rfam family: Bacterial large subunit ribosomal RNA
Source: RNAcentral